This 570-nucleotide ribosomal RNA is filed under the name Anidarnes dissidens. RNAcentral describes it as "eukaryotic LSU rRNA". It matches the Rfam family "Eukaryotic large subunit ribosomal RNA", at positions 649 to 1163 of the family's 3401-position model. The record is from RNAcentral. Lineage: Eukaryota; Metazoa; Arthropoda; Insecta; Hymenoptera; Pteromalidae.
CCGUCUUGAAACACGGACCAAGGAGUCUAACAUGUGCGCGAGUCAUUGGGACUGGUUAAGCCUAAAGGCGCAAUGAAAGUGAAGGUCGACCCUAGCGUCGACCGAGGGAGGAUGGCUCGCGUCACGAUGCGAGUCCGCACUCCCGGGGCGUCUCGCGCUCAUUGCGAGCGGAGGCGCACCCAGAGCGUACACGUUGGGACCCGAAAGAUGGUGAACUAUGCCUGGUCAGGACGAAGUCAGGGGAAACCCUGAUGGAGGUCCGUAGCGAUUCUGACGUGCAAAUCGAUCGUCGGAACUGGGUAUAGGGGCGAAAGACUAAUCGAACCAUCUAGUAGCUGGUUCCCUCCGAAGUUUCCCUCAGGAUAGCUGGCACUCGCUUGAGCGAGUCUCAUCUGGUAAAGCGAAUGAUUAGAGGCCUUGGGGCCGAAACGACCUCAACCUAUUCUCAAACUUUAAAUGGGUGAGAUCUCUGGCUUGCUUGAACGUUGAAGCCACGAGAUUAAUUUUUCUUUCAAAUGGAUCAGAGUGCCAAGUGGGCCAAUUUUGGUAAGCAGAACUGGCGCUGUGGGA